RNAcentral lists this long non-coding RNA (545 nucleotides) under Numida meleagris (helmeted guineafowl). RNAcentral's name for it is "lncRNA (ENSNMEG00000007730.1)". The record is from RNAcentral. Lineage: Eukaryota; Metazoa; Chordata; Aves; Galliformes; Numididae.
CAAAUUUGUGCUAAACAGGAAAGGGAAGCAAUUUUUUUUUCUAGAUUUUGAAUCAUAACAGACUUGAUCACAGAUACAAUGCGCAUUUCAUAGUUGAUGUAGAAGUGCACUUUCAGAUCAGCUGUUGUGGUCAGGAAUUCCCCCUGAGCCAAAAAGAUUUAUAGCAGCCCUUUCACAAAGGAUCCUUACUGCAAUUUGUUACAUAAGGUUAAAUAAAAAGGAGUAAAUUUCUAGUGAAAGUCUUUUUUUAAGCAGGAGGAGCCCCAUCUCAGGAGCACAAGAAACUCAACUUCAGUUCUGAUACAGGCAGUGAAAACUCCUCUGGAGGAAUCCAAUGCACAGCAUGAACAAAUGUGAAUCUCAUAUUUGGAGAAGCAUGCUGUGGUUAGACUUAAGCUGCUAUUCGAAGUGUCACAUGAGAGACUGGAGGCAUCCACACUGCAGUUCAUUACACUACAUUAAACUGAGGAGCAGGAAGAUGAAGAAUGAACAAGAUGAAAGAAAGAUUCUUUAACAAGAGAAAGGAAUAUAAACAUUUUUUACAG